Molecule: long non-coding RNA, 4263 nt
Organism: Gasterosteus aculeatus aculeatus (three-spined stickleback)
Lineage: Eukaryota; Metazoa; Chordata; Actinopteri; Perciformes; Gasterosteidae
Source: Ensembl
ACCAUAAGUCACUCUGUUUCCCUUUUAUUGUUUCGGAUACUUCACAUGACAUAUUACAUCAAUAUCUAAAUGAGUACAAAUGAGUAGACCAGCAGUAAGCAGACUCGAUAAACAAUUAAAAAGUAGUGCCAUAAAACACAAACUACGUACAACCUUUGAGAGUCUUUCAUGUUAUUACCAGGUGCAUUUGUAAAAACAGUUAUAUUUAUGCUCAUGUUAUGUCAGCAGAAUAAACACAGAGCUUCUCAGUGUACUUCAAUCCCAAAUAGUUACAGAUUAUCACCAGGGUCAUACAAUAGCUUUGAGAAAAGAACAAAAGUGAUAGUUAAAAUAUCAUAACAUUAUAAAUAUAUGAAAUAAAUAACAGGUUAAUAAGUUACAAUAAGGAUAAUAAAUUACGUUCCUUACAAUCCAUCAAGUUCGUAAAUAACUCACUAUGUGUACAACAUGUAAAUGUGGGUUCUUCUUAGUCUCUUGUUCCAGUCCACUUAAUAAUUCCACAGAACUGCUGUAACAACUGCAACAACUAAAUAGAAACUUGUCCUGUUGAUGACUGCAGAGGAAGCUGUGGUGGUGGUUGUUGUUGCAAAUGUAGACGGAGCUGCUGUUGUCAUUGCGGCUGCUGAUAUUGUUGUUGGGUUGGCUGUUGUUGCCGGUGCGGUUGGUGUUGUUGCAGCAGCAAUUGUCAUUGUUGCGGAUGAUGUUGUUGUAGGUGCUGUGGUUAUUUGUGGGGUGUUCGUGGUUGUUGACGGUGCUACUGUAGUUGUUGCAGCUGGCACAGUAGUUGUUGCGGCUGCUACUGUAGUUGCUGCGGGUGCAGCUGUAGUUGUUAGAGCUGCUGUAGUUGUGGCUGGGGCAUCUGUGGUGGCUGCUGCUCCUGCAGUUGUUGUGGUUGCUGCUGUUGUUGUCGGGUUUACUGUAGUUGUUGCGGCUGGUACCGUAGUUGUUGCGGCUACCACUGUAGUUGUAGCAGCUGCUACUGUAGUUGUAGCGGCUGCUACUGUAGUUGCUGCGGGUGCAGCUGUAGUUGUUAGAGCUGCUGUAGUUGUGGCUGGGGCAUGCUGUGGUGGUCGCUGCCACUGCAGUUGUUGUUGGGUUGGCUGUAGUUGUUGUGGCUACCACUGUAGUUGUUGCGGAUGCUGCUGUAGUUGUUUCAGCUGGUACUGUAGUUGCUGCUGCUGCAGUUGUUGAAGGUGCUGCUAUGGUUGUUGCAGCUGGUACUGUAGUUGUUGCUGCUGCUGCAGUUGUGCAGGUGCAGCUGUAGUUGUUAGAGCUGCUGUAGUUGUGGCUGGGGCAUCUGUGGUGGCUGCUGCUCCUGCAGUUGUUGUGGUUGCUGCUGUUGUUGUCGGGUUUACUGUAGUUGUUGCGGCUGGUACCGUAGUUGUUGCGGCUACCACUGUAGUUGUAGCAGCUGCUACUGUAGUUGUAGCGGCUGCUACUGUAGUUGCUGCGGGUGCAUCUGUAGUUGUUAGAGCUGCUGUAGUUGUGGCUGGGACAUCUGUGGUGGUCGCUGCCACUGAAGUUGUUGUUGGGUUGGCUGUAGUUGUUGUGGCUACCACUGUAGUUGUUGCGGAUGCUGCUGUAGUUGUUUCAGCUGGUACUGUAGUUGCUGCUGCUGCAGUUGUUGCAGAUGCUGCUAUGGUUGUUGCAGCUGGUACUGUAGUUGUUGCUGCUGCUGCAGUUGUUGCAGGUGCAGCUGUAGUUGUUAGAGCUGCUGUAGUUGUGGCUGGGGCAUCUGUGGUGGCUGCUUCUCCUGCAAUUGGUGUGGUUGCUGCUGUUGUUGGGUUUACUGUAGUUGUUGUGGCUGGUACCGUAGUUGUUGCGGCUACCACUGUUGUUGUUGUGGCUGCUACUGUAGUUGUAGCGGCUGCUACUGUAGUUGCUGCGGGUGCAGCUGUAGUUGUAAGAGCUGCUGUAGUUGUGGCUGGGGCAAUUGUUGUGGUCGCUGCUGCUGUUGUUGGGUUUGCUGUAGUUGUUGCGGCUGCUACUGUGGUUGUUGCAGCUGGUACUGUAGUGGUUGCAGCUGGUGGUGUAGUUGUUAGAGCUGCUGUAGUUGUGGCUGGGGCAUUUGUGGUGGUUGCUGCUGCUGCUGUUGUUGUUGGGUUUGCUGUAACUGUUGCGGCUGCUACUGUGGUUGUUGCGUCUGGUACUGUAGUCGUCGCGGCUGCUCCUGUAGUUACUGCAGAUGCUGCUGUAGUUGUUGCAGCUGGUACUGUAGUUGUUGCUGGUGCUGCAGUUGUUGCAGGUGCAGCUGUAGUUGUUGCGGCUGCAACUGAAGUCGUCGCGGCUGCUCCUGUAGUUAUUUCAGCUGGUACUGUAGUUGCUGCUGCUGCAGUUGUUGCGGAUGCUGCUGUAGUUGUUGCUGCUGCUGCAGUUGUUGCGGAUGCUGCUAUAGUUGUUGCAGCUGGUACUGCAGUUGUUGCAGAUGCUGAUGUAGAUGUUGCAGCUGGUACUGUAGUUGUUAAAGGUGCAGCUGUAGUUGUUGCGGCUGCAACUGAAGUCGUCACGGCUGCUCCAGUAGUUGUUGCGGAUGCUGCUGUAGUUGUUUCAGCUGGUACUGUAGUUGUUGCUGCUGCUGCAGUUGUUGGUAGGUUAGCUGUAGUUGUCGCGGAUGCUACUUUAGUUGUUCCAGCUGGUACUGUAGUUGUUGUGGCUGCCACUGUUGUUGCAGUUGCAGCUGUAGUUGUUAGAGCUGCUGUGGUGGUUGCUGCUGCUGGGUUGGCUGUGGUUGUUUCCGCUGCUACUGUAGUUGUUGCGGCUGGUACUGUAGUUGUUGUGGCUACCACUGUAGUUGUUGCGGCUGCUACUAUAGUUGUUGCAGGUGCAGCUGUAGUUGUUAGAGCUGCUGUAGUUGUGGCUGUGGCAUCUGUGGUGGCUGCUUCUCCUGCAAUUGGUGUGGUUGCUGCUGUUGUUGUUGGGGUUGCUGUAGUUGUUGCGGCUACCACUGCUGUUGUUGUGGCUGCUACUGUAGUUGUAUCGGCUGCUACUGUAGAUGCUGCGGAUGCAGCUGUAGUUGUAAGAGCUGCUGUAGUUGUUGGCUGGGGCAAAUGGUUGUGAUUGCUGCUGCUGUUGUUGUUGGGUUUGCUGUAGUUGUUGCGGCUGCUACUGUGGUUGUUGCGGCUGGUACUGUAGUGGUUGCAGCUGGUACUGUAGUUGUUGUGGCUGCCACUGUAGUUGUUACAGUUGGUACUGUAGUCGGUGCUGGUGCAGGUUUAGUUGUUAGAGCUGUUGUAGUUGUGGCUGGGUGCAUCUGUGGUGGUCGCUGCCACUGAAGUUGUUGUUGGGUUGACUGCAGUUGUUGUGGCUACCACGGUAGUUGUUGCGGAUGCUGAUGUAGUUGUUUCAGCUGGUACUGUAGUUGCUGCUGCUGCAGUUAUUGCGGAUGCUGCUGUAGUUGUUGCAGCUGGUACUGUAGUUGUUGCUGCAGUUGUUGCAGAUGCUGCAGUAGUUGUUUUAGCUGGUACUGUAGUUGUUGCUGCUGCUGCAGUUGUUGCAGGUGCAGCUGUAGUUGUUGGGGCUGCAACUGAAGUCGUCGCGGCUGCUCCUGUAGUUGUUGCGGAUGCUGCUGUAGUUGUUUCAGCUGGUCGUGUAGUUGUUGCUGCUGCUGCAGUUGUUGCGGAUGCUGCUGUAGUUGUUGGAGCUGGUACUGCAGUUGUUGCAGAUGCUGCUGUAGUUGUUGCAGCUGGUACUGUAGUUGUUUCUGCUGCUGCAGUUGUUGCAGGUGCAGCUGUAGUUGUUGCGGCUGCAACUGAAGUCGUCGCGGCUGCCGCUGCAGUUGUUGCGGAUGCUGCUGUAGUUGUUGCUGCUGCUGCAGUUGUUGCAGGUUCAGCUGUAGUUGUUGCUGCUGCUGCAGUUGUUGAAGGUGGAGCUGUAGUUGUUGCUGCUGCUGCAGUUGUUGCGGAUGCUGCUGUAGUUGUUGCGGAUGCUGCUGUAGUUGUUGCAGCUGGUACUGCAGUUGUUGCGGAUGCUGCUGUAGUUGUUGCAGCUGGUACUGUAGUUGUUGCUGCUGCUGCAGUUGUUGCAGGUGCAGCUGUAGUUUCAGCUGGUCGUGUAGUUGUUGCUGCUGCUGCAGUUGUUGCGGAUGCUGCUGUAGUUGUUGGAGCUGGUACUGCAGUUGUUGCAGAUGCUGCUGUAGUUUGUUGCAGCUGGUACUGUAGUUGUUUCUGCUGCUGCAGUUGUUGCAGGUGCAGCUGUAGUUGUUGCGGCUGCAAACUGAAGUCGUCGCGGCUGCUGCUGUAGUUGUUGCGGAUGCUGCUGUAGUUG